This 234-nucleotide ribosomal RNA is filed under the name uncultured bacterium. RNAcentral's name for it is "partial 16S ribosomal RNA". It matches the Rfam family "Bacterial small subunit ribosomal RNA", at positions 118 to 347 of the family's 1533-position model. The record is from RNAcentral.
UGAGCAAUCUGCCCUUCUCAUCGGAAUAAGCGUUGGAAACGACGUCUAAUGCCGAAUACGACCUCCUUUCGCAUGAUCGGAGGUGGAAAGCUCCGGCGGAGAAGGAUGAGCUCGCGGCCUAUCAGCUAGUUGGUGUGGGUAAUGGCCCACCAAGGCGACGACGGGUAGCCGGCCUGAGGAGGGUGACCCGGCCACACUGGGACUGAGACACGGCCCAGACUCCGUACGGGAGCA